RNAcentral lists this transfer RNA (72 nucleotides) under Brassica napus (rape). It matches the Rfam family "tRNA". Rfam says of the family: Transfer RNA (tRNA) molecules are approximately 80 nucleotides in length. The record is from Rfam by way of RNAcentral. Lineage: Eukaryota; Viridiplantae; Streptophyta; Magnoliopsida; Brassicales; Brassicaceae.
GUCGUUGUAGUAUAGUGGUAAGUAUUUCCACCUGUCACGUGGGUGACCCGGGUUCGCUGCCCGGCAACGGCG